UACGGGGGGGUGCGAGCGUUGUCCGGAAUCACUGGGCGUAAAGGGCGCGUAGGUGGUUUGAUAAGGGUGUGGUGAAAGUCCGGGGGCUCAACCCCCGGAUCUGCCGUGCCGACUGUCAAACUCGAGGGCUGUAGAGGCAGACGGAAUUCCGGGUGUAGCGGUGGAAUGCGUAGAGAUCCGGAGGAAGACCGGUGGCGAAGGCGGUCUGCUGGGCAGUUUUCUGACACUGAUGCGCGACAGCGUGGGGAGCAAACAGG
This 257-nucleotide ribosomal RNA is filed under the name uncultured bacterium. Its description in RNAcentral is "partial 16S ribosomal RNA". It matches the Rfam family "Bacterial small subunit ribosomal RNA", at positions 524 to 776 of the family's 1533-position model. The record is from RNAcentral.